This 378-nucleotide ribosomal RNA is filed under the name uncultured Planctomycetota bacterium. Its description in RNAcentral is "bacterial SSU rRNA". It matches the Rfam family "Bacterial small subunit ribosomal RNA", at positions 521 to 896 of the family's 1533-position model. The record is from RNAcentral. Lineage: Bacteria; Pseudomonadati; Planctomycetota.
UAAUACGGAGGGCGCAAGCGUUGUUCGGAAUCGCUGGGCAUAAAGAGCACGUAGGCUGUUCAAUCAGUCGGAUGUGAAAGCCCUCGGCCCAACCGGGGAACUGCAUUCGAUACUAUUGAGCUAGAGGACAGGAGGGGUGAGUGGAACUCCAGGUGGAACGGUGAAAUGUGUAGAUAUCUGGAGGAACACCGGUGGCGAAAACGGCUCACUGGCCUGUCUCUGACGCUGAGGUGCGAAAGCUAGGGUAGCGAACGGGAUUAGAUACCCCGGUAGUCCUAGCCGUAAACGGUGGGCACUAGGCAAUGGGUUUCCCUAUGGAGUUCAUUGCCGUAGCAAAUGUGUUAAGUGCCCCGCCUGGGGGGUACGCUCGCAAGGGUA